This is a non-coding RNA of Cordylochernes scorpioides, 73 nucleotides long. The record is from the annotation of a GenBank genome assembly. NCBI's taxonomy places the organism in Eukaryota, Metazoa, Arthropoda, Arachnida, Pseudoscorpiones, Chernetidae.
CCAUCGGUGGGUCAGUGGUAGAAUGCUCGCCUGCCACGCGGGCGUUCGCCGGGUUCGAUUCCCGGCCGAUGCA